GAAACAGGGUCGACUCAUCGUCUCCCGCGUUCGCCGCCGCUGGAAUGCAAGUUGCCGCCCCCGUCCACCCCGCUGCAGCUUGGGAUUGAUCAUGCGAACCACUUAUUAGAAUAUCCAACAUUAACAGCGGGGACGCUAGGGAAGAUUAAGGACAAUGGAGCAGGAGGAUUAGCAUUUCACUUGAUGGCUGAACCUAAAAUGACAGGCAUGUCGACCACGACUAGUGCACGCAAGAGAAGGACCUGCAGCGAGCCAAAUGCAGUUUUAAUGAAGCAGUCAUCAUUAGAAGAUAGUCGCCAAAGCGACCCUGUGCAACAUUAUGAUAAUGCAGGUGUAAUGAAGAAGUCCUCAGUAGAAGAUAGAGCGCAAAAAAGGUUCCGGG
This is a non-coding RNA of Lolium perenne, 382 nucleotides long. Lineage: Eukaryota; Viridiplantae; Streptophyta; Magnoliopsida; Poales; Poaceae. The record is from RefSeq and is a predicted model, not a curated record.